Molecule: unclassified non-coding RNA, 234 nt
Filed under: soil metagenome
Description: partial internal transcribed spacer 1
Source: RNAcentral
AUGAAUAAAUUUGGUCGAGCUGUUGCUGGCCCUUCGGGGCACUGUGCACGCUUGCCACCAAUUUUAUAACCACCUGUGCACCUUUGUAGACUAGAAACAGUUCUCGAGGCAACUCGGAUUGAGAACUGCGGUGUCAAAGCCAGCUGUUCUUGUGUUUCUCAGUCUAUGUUUUCAUAUACUCCAUUGUAUGUAUCAGAAUGUAUCGUUAGGCCUUUAGUGCCUUUAAAUCAAAUA